UAGAGUUUGAUCCUGGCUCAGAAUGAACGCUGGCGGCGUGCUUAACACAUGCAAGUCGUACGAGAACUCCUUAGCUUGCUAAGGAUAGUAAAGUGGCGCACGGGUGAGUAACGCGUGGGUAAUCUACCCUAAAGUUUGGAAUAACAUUGCGAAAGUGAUGCUAAUACCGGAUAAUAUUUGAUUUGCUUUGGCUUUUCAGAUCAAAGGUGGCCUCUAUUUAUAAGCUACUGUUUUAGGAUGAGCCCGCGUACCAUUAGCUUGUUGGUAGGGUAAUGGCCUACCAAGGCUACGAUGGUUAGCUGGUCUGAGAGGAUGAUCAGCCACACUGGAACUGACACACGGUCCAGACUCCUACGGGAGGCAGCAGUGAGGAAUUUUGCGCAAUGGGGGAAACCCUGACGCAGCAACGCCGCGUGAGUGAUGAAGGCUUUCGGGUCGUAAAGCUCUGUCAAGUGGGAAGAAAUAAGAAAAUUAUAAUAUAAUUUUUUUUUGACGGUACCACUAAAGGAAGCACCGGCUAACUCCGUGCCAGCAGCCGCGGUAAUACGGGGGGUGCAAGCGUUAUUCGGAAUUAUUGGGCGUAAAGGGCGCGCAGGCGGUUACUUAAGUCAGAUGUGAAAGCCCGGGGCUUAACCUCGGAAGUGCAUUUGAAACUAAGUAACUUGAGUAUGGGAGAGGGAAGUGGAA
RNAcentral lists this ribosomal RNA (687 nucleotides) under uncultured delta proteobacterium. RNAcentral's name for it is "bacterial SSU rRNA". It matches the Rfam family "Bacterial small subunit ribosomal RNA", at positions 1 to 666 of the family's 1533-position model. The record is from RNAcentral. Lineage: Bacteria; Deltaproteobacteria.